AUGACCAACAACUGGAAUUAUCCAAUCAUCUUAAUCCGGCCGGGGAAGGGUGUGUGGCUACCAAGGCCACAAACAACCCCCUUCGUUGACAUCAUUGACAUCGUGCUCGUUGGAAACAGACUCUGCGGGAUCUCCAUGGCGGAGGACCUCUUCUCCUUCAAUAUAAGCUUUAGUGCCAAUGGCGUACCCAUGGUUACCAAUAUCAAGCACCACAUCAGAUCAGGUGAUGCUGAUCCCAAUGUUGAGAGCGACGUAGAUGAGGCCCAAGACCAUAAUGAGCACAAAAAGGGGCGGCACCAGCGCAACUUGUAUGACUUGAGGACUGGAGACAACAUGAUCAUUGAUGGCAUCCUCUGUGACGAGUUGCCUUACGCACCCAACGAUAACCUCGCCACAUUUUAG
RNAcentral lists this ribosomal RNA (402 nucleotides) under Triticum aestivum (bread wheat). RNAcentral describes it as "partial small subunit ribosomal RNA". The record is from RNAcentral. Lineage: Eukaryota; Viridiplantae; Streptophyta; Magnoliopsida; Poales; Poaceae.